GACGAACGCUGGCGGCGUGCUUAACACAUGCAAGUCGAACGGGCCUUGUCCCCUUUUUUUUUGGGGGUGGGGUUAGUGGCGAACGGGUGAGUAACACGUGAGUAACCUGCCCCUCAUUUCUGGAUAACCGCUUGAAAGGGUGGCUAAUACGGGGUGUUCUGGCCUGCUCGCAUGGGUGGGUUUGGAAAGAUUCGACCGGUUUUGGUUGUUUUGGUGGGGGAUGGGCUCGCGGCCUAUCAGCUUGUUGGUGGGGUGAUGGCCUGCCAAGGCUUUGACGGGUGGCCGGCCUGAGGGGGUGGGCGGUCACACUGGGACUGAGACACGGCCCAGACUCCUACGGGAGGCAGCAGUGGGGAAUAUUGCACAAUGGGCGCAAGCCUGAUGCAGCGACGCCGCGUGAGGGAUGGAGGCCUUCGGGUUGUGAACCUCUUUCGCCAGUGAAGAAGGUCCUGCUCUUUGUGGUGGGGUUGACGGUAGCUGGGUUAAUGAAGCGCCGGCUAACUACGUG
This 508-nucleotide ribosomal RNA is filed under the name uncultured bacterium. RNAcentral describes it as "partial 16S ribosomal RNA". It matches the Rfam family "Bacterial small subunit ribosomal RNA", at positions 28 to 507 of the family's 1533-position model. The record is from RNAcentral.